Molecule: ribosomal RNA, 454 nt
Filed under: uncultured bacterium
Lineage: Bacteria
Description: bacterial SSU rRNA
Rfam family: Bacterial small subunit ribosomal RNA
Source: RNAcentral
UCGGGAGGCAGCAGUGGGGAAUAUUGCACAAUGGGCGCAAGCCUGAUGCAGCCAUGCCGCGUGUAUGAAGAAGGCCUUCGGGUUGUAAAGUACUUUCAGUCGUGAGGAAGGUGUUAAGGUUAAUAACCUUAGCAAUUGACGUUAGCGACAGAAGAAGCACCGGCUAACUCCGUGCCAGCAGCCGCGGUAAUACGGAGGGUGCGAGCGUUAAUCGGAAUUACUGGGCGUAAAGGGCACGCAGGCGGUUAAUUAAGUUGGAUGUGAAAUCCCCGGGCUUAACCUGGGAAUGGCAUUCAAGACUGAUUAGCUAGAGUCUUGUAGAGGGGGUAGAAUUCCAUGUGUAGCGGUGAAAUGCGUAGAGAUGUGGAGGAAUACCGGGCGGCGAAGGCGGCCCCUGGGACAAAGACUGACGCUCAUGUGCGAAAGCGUGGGGAGCAAACGAGGAUUAGAUACC